GCUGCUCCCCGAGCUGACCCGCGGUCACUGUGCUAUCGGGUCCCGGUAUUCGUGACCUGCUCGACAGGUACACUUCCACAUUCUAAAAACCUUUUUCGAGUCAAGGCAACGACGGAGACAAAUCAAACGCUGUUACGUCUUGUCGUUUUCUUGGCUGCUAUAAAUAACGCCGGAGAGGAGCUGAACUUCGGAGGGAGCGCCCCGUUGCUGGCCGCCGUGUAAUUCCCUGACCUUCUCCCAAGCGAUCCCACACAGAUUUGUACCACAGAGAUGUGAAUUCAUCUCCUUCUAUAUAGAGACGAAGAUGAAGCCAUCAGGAUGAUAAAUUUGACACGAGACUUUAAAUAGCCGCCAUCGCACGUGGCGGAUUAGCAGCUACUGAAAUUGUUAAUGUGGCAGGUAGAACGGUGGCAAUUUGAAGGGUUCAAGCAGAGGCUAGAAGACACACAAAACACACACACAUACAUGGACAUAAUAUCAAUGUAUAAAUGGAGAAAGUAUUGCCACCAUUUUGGCUAAUAAAAGUAUCAGCAAAGUAAAACCUAUAAGGACUAAUGGAAAGUUAUGUUUCUAAUACAAUCUUGAUGAGUAGAUACAAAACCAAGUUUUCAGGUGUUCUCUUGUUGUGCUGCAGCAGGACUGUGCCAACAUGCUCAUUAAACAUUUAGCGCCA
Molecule: long non-coding RNA, 673 nt
Organism: Syngnathus typhle (broad-nosed pipefish)
Lineage: Eukaryota; Metazoa; Chordata; Actinopteri; Syngnathiformes; Syngnathidae
Exons: 3
Source: RefSeq, a predicted model, not a curated record